AGCGAACGCUGGCGGCAGGCCUAACACAUGCAAGUCGAACGCCGUAGCAAUACGGAGUGGCAGACGGGUGAGUAACACGUGGGAACGUACCCUUCGGUUCGGAAUAACUCAGGGAAACUUGAGCUAAAACCGGAUACGUCCGAGAGGAGAAAGAUUUAUCGCCGAGGGAUCGGCCCGCGUCUGAUUAGCUUGUUGGUGAGGUAACGGCUCACCAAGGCGACGAUCAGUAGCUGGUCNGAGAGGAUGAUCAGCCACAUUGGGACUGAGACACGGCCCAAACUCCUACGGGAGGCAGCAGUGGGAAUAUUGGACAAUGGGCGCAAGCCUGAUCCAGCCAUGCCGCGUGAGUGAUGAAGGCCCUAGGGUUGUAAAGCUCUUUUACCCGGGAAGAUAAUGACUGUACCGGGAGAAUAAGCCCCGGCUAACUUCGUGCCAGCCGCCGCGGUAAU
Molecule: ribosomal RNA, 449 nt
Filed under: uncultured bacterium
Lineage: Bacteria
Description: bacterial SSU rRNA
Rfam family: Bacterial small subunit ribosomal RNA
Source: RNAcentral